GAUGAACGCUGGCGGCGUGCCUAAUACAUGCAAGUCGAACGAGUUCUUCGGAACUAGUGGCGGACGGGUGAGUAGCACGUUGGUACCUACCCCGAAGUGGGGAAUAACUGGCCGAAAGGUCGGCUAAUACCGCAUAAUACCGUAAGGUUAAAGCAGUAAUGCGCUUCGGGAGGGGCCUGCGUCUGAUUAGCCAGUUGGUAGUGUAAUGGACUACCAAGGCGACGAUCAGUAGCUGGAUCGAGAGGUUGACCAGCCACACUGGGACUGAGAUACAGCCCAGACUCCUACGGGAGGCAGCAGUAAGGAAUCUUCCACAAUGGACGAAAGUCUGAUGGAGCAACGCCGCGUGCAGGAUGACGGCCUUCGGGUUGUAAACUGCUUUUAUAUGGGAAGAUUAUGACGGUACCAUAUGAAUAAGGACCGGCUAACUACGUGCCAGCCGCCGCAGUAA
Molecule: ribosomal RNA, 451 nt
Filed under: uncultured bacterium
Lineage: Bacteria
Description: partial 16S ribosomal RNA
Rfam family: Bacterial small subunit ribosomal RNA
Source: RNAcentral